Molecule: ribosomal RNA, 496 nt
Filed under: uncultured bacterium
Lineage: Bacteria
Description: bacterial SSU rRNA
Rfam family: Bacterial small subunit ribosomal RNA
Source: RNAcentral
UCUACGGGAGGCAGCAGUGGGGAAUCUUAGACAAUGGGGGCAACCCUGAUCUAGCCAUGCCGCGUGAGUGAUGAAGGCCUUAGGGUUGUAAAGCUCUUUCAGCUGGGAAGAUAAUGACGGUACCAGCAGAAGAAGCCCCGGCUAACUCCGUGCCAGCAGCCGCGGUAAUACGGAGGGGGCUAGCGUUGUUCGGAAUUACUGGGCGUAAAGCGCACGUAGGCGGACUGGAAAGUUGGGGGUGAAAUCCCGGGGCUCAACCUCGGAACUGCCUUCAAAACUAUCAGUCUGGAGUUCGAGAGAGGUGAGUGGAAUUCCGAGUGUAGAGGUGAAAUUCGUAGAUAUUCGGAGGAACACCAGUGGCGAAGGCGGCUCACUGGCUCGAUACUGACGCUGAGGUGCGAAAGCGUGGGGGAGCAAACAGGAUUAGAUACCUGGUAGUCCACGCCGUAAACGAUGAAUGCCAGACGUCGGGCAGCAUGCUUUUUCGGUGUCCCAC